GUGGGGAAUCUUCCGCAAUGGACGAAAGUCUGACGGAGCAACGCCGCGUGAGUGAAGAAGGUUUUCGGAUCGUAAAACUCUGUCGUUUGGGACGAACGUGCUUUGGGUAAAUAAUCUAAAGUAAUGACGGUACCAAAGGAGGAAGCCACGGCUAACUACGUGCCAGCAGCCGCGGUAAUACGUAGGUGGCAAGCGUUGUCCGGAAUUAUUGGGCGUAAAGGGCGUGUAGGUGGAUUCUUAAGUCGUGUGUCUAAGUGCGGGGCUCAACCCCGUAUGGGCGCAGGAAACUGGGGAUCUUGAGUGCAGGAGAGGAAAGUGGAAUUCCCAGUGUAGCGGUGAAAUGCGUAGAUAUUGGGAGGAACACCAGUGGCGAAGGCGACUUUCUGGACUGUGUCUGACACUGAGGCGCGAAAGCUAGGGGAGCGAACGGG
Molecule: ribosomal RNA, 431 nt
Filed under: bacterium
Lineage: Bacteria
Description: bacterial SSU rRNA
Rfam family: Bacterial small subunit ribosomal RNA
Source: RNAcentral